CUUCCCAUCAGCCCUUGAGGCUGCAGGGACCAGCCCUUUGUACAGUGGAGAAGCCCAGGCGGCCUAGAAUCCAGUGUCGUCCGUGAGUGCUUGGCUGGUGUUCAAGUGCAUCUUCCAGCCUGAGACCGCGUGGACUCGCUCAUCGUGAGGGCGAGAGGAGGAUAAGCCCAUUGGGCUGUCGGCUGAGAGUGAGACCAUCCACAAUAUUGUUUGAACAUCUGAAGACAUGGGGAACUUGCCAUCUGAUAUCUGAUAACAGACUUCCUGUAAAGCAGGACUGGUAGUUUCCUGAUAACAAAUUCUUCAAUAUGAAGAUUGCUGAUGAAAUCCUUGGCAUCGUCGGAGAUCUCAUCGAAUGCCUCGUCGUCGAAGUCCCAGGUGGCUGAGGUAACGUUGGCCAAGGUUUCGUUAUCGUUGUCUCCCAUGAAGGGGGAAAGGCCACUGACUCUGGAGAGACAAGAGCAGGACAGCAGGUGUGGCUAGGAGAGGGCGCGACGACCAGAUGAGGGAAUUGAGGCACAGCCCAGGCUCAAGUCACCUGCCCAAAGAUUCACAGCCAGUGAGAUUGGAAGCCAGGUAUCUGCCUCUAGAGCCUGUCCUCUUAAAUGCUAUACUAUCCUAACAUUUCUGUAAAGAUGAAGUAAAUUGCAGUGUUCAGCACUGGCACCAGGCCUGGUCCACAGUAAGGAGGCGGUCCAUGCCCGGAGAUCUCAUGCAGUUCUGCUGGGUUCCCUCCACUGCCUUACCAAGCUGUGAGUGCAGGAAUGACUUUGUGACCAGCAGCUUAAGCCAAAUAAACUUUAUAAGGUAAAGAAUUUCAAAACAAA
Molecule: long non-coding RNA, 827 nt
Filed under: Homo sapiens (human)
Lineage: Eukaryota; Metazoa; Chordata; Mammalia; Primates; Hominidae
Description: HSALNT0314235
Source: RNAcentral